GGCUGGUCUGAUGGUAGUGGGUUAUCAGAAUUUAUUAACAUUAGUGUCACUAAAGUUGGUAUUCAACCCCCACUGCUAAAUUUGACUGGCUUUAA
RNAcentral lists this Y RNA (95 nucleotides) under Microcebus murinus (gray mouse lemur). RNAcentral describes it as "Y RNA (ENSMICG00000042432.1)". It matches the Rfam family "Y RNA". Rfam says of the family: Y RNAs are components of the Ro ribonucleoprotein particle (Ro RNP), in association with Ro60 and La proteins. The Y RNAs and Ro60 and La proteins are well conserved, but the function of the Ro RNP is not known. In humans the RNA component can be one of four small RNAs -- hY1, hY3, hY4 and hY5. Lineage: Eukaryota; Metazoa; Chordata; Mammalia; Primates; Cheirogaleidae. The record is from Rfam by way of RNAcentral.